This 406-nucleotide ribosomal RNA is filed under the name Verrucomicrobiota bacterium. Its description in RNAcentral is "Verrucomicrobia bacterium partial 16S ribosomal RNA". It matches the Rfam family "Bacterial small subunit ribosomal RNA", at positions 355 to 776 of the family's 1533-position model. Lineage: Bacteria; Pseudomonadati; Verrucomicrobiota. The record is from RNAcentral.
UGGGGAAUAUUGGGCAAUGGGCGAAAGCCUGACCCAGCAACGCCGCGUGAAUGAUGAAGGCCUUCGGGUUGUAAAAUUCUUUGGACAGGGACGAAGAAAGUGACGGUACCUGUAGAACAAGCCACGGCUACCUACUGUCCAGCAGCCGCGGUAAUACGUAGGUGGCGAGCGUUAUCCGGAUUUACUGGGCGUAAAGGGCGUGUAGGCGGCUAGAUAAGUGUGAUGUUUAAAUCCAAGGCUUAACCUUGGGGUUCAUUACAAACUGUUUAGCUUGAGUGCUGGAGAGGAUAGUGGAAUUCCUAGUGUAGCGGUAAAAUGCGUAGAUAUUAGGAGGAACACCGGUGGCGAAGGCGGCUAUCUGGACAGUAACUGACGCUGAGGCGCGAAAGCGUGGGGAGCAAACAGG